CGGUGCACUUCGCUAGGUUGAGGCCAGCAUCGGUUUCCGUAGGGGGAUAAAAGCUUUAGGAAUGUGGCUCUUCGGAGUGUUAUAGCCUAUUGUAUAAUACCUUUAUGGGGACCGAGGUACGCGCUCUGCAAGGAUGCUGGCGUAAUGGUCAUCAA
Molecule: ribosomal RNA, 155 nt
Filed under: Castanediella sp.
Lineage: Eukaryota; Fungi; Ascomycota; Sordariomycetes; Amphisphaeriales; Castanediellaceae
Description: partial large subunit ribosomal RNA
Source: RNAcentral